ACCUUAAAACAACCGUUUAAUCGUCUGUAUGUACCCGCCACCUCUGCUCUCUCUUCAGACGAUACGACCUGUAGUCUAUAGAGGCAACAGCAGCGGCGGUGAUUUCAUUGGGAGCAGAUUUCUUUUCGGGGUUUUCCGCCCAGAUCUUCUGUUCGGUGGCUCCUUUUUCUUCAUAUAGUGAGGAGGAAGGCUGUGAACCAUUCUAGUUUCCAUGGCUACUGAAACAGCUAUUCAGGAUCCAAGAAAACAUGCUUUGGAGGCAUUGAAGAGGAGGUUUGCCUUUGUCGAGGCUGAUCUGAUACAACAAAAGAACAAAAAGAGUAUAAAAGAAGGAGAUGGAAAAGAACCUCAUAGGACAACUUCUUUAGCAGAUAAAACUGAUGCAGCAGUCACUCCCUCAUUUGGUGCUCAACACAAGAAAGAUCCUGAAGAAAAUGCUCCAGCAUAUUUGCAGCUCUCUCAAGCUGUACAUGAGAAUCUGCUGUCAACCAAUAUUAAGCUUUAUAGUAGAAAAGGAGACAUGGUCGAUAAGAUUUUAGACGAGCUUCUUCAGAAUGGUGAUAUGGCUCAGAAGUACAUGCAGAAGUCCAGAAAAAUAAAUAUUGACCAUUUCGUCCUUCUUGAUAAUUAUGUACAAGGACGUGGCGUAUCUACUGGUUCUCAUAUCAGGGCUUUGUGGAUGCAUUCAAAGCGUUCUAAAAAGCACAUGUCCGUGAAACAGCAUAAAAAAUGUGGAUCAUUUGAUUUGCCCCAAGAGCUUCAUAAGUCUGAUGUUUUUAGGCCUAUGCAUGAAAUGUGGAAAGGCUACAUGAUGCAACUGCUUGAAACUGUCGGGAAAAAUCAGUUGGCUCAGUGUCUUCCCAACGCAGAUCUACAUGGUGCUUUCAUUCUAGUUGCUGAGUGUAAAGCAACUUCUUUCACAGGAGUAAGCGGCAUUAUGAUUCGUGAAACUGCAGAAACAUUUGGGAUAAUUACACAAGAUGGUGUAUUCCGAGUUGUGCCCAAAAAGAUUUCUGUCUUUAUUUUCCAAGUUGAUUGCUGGAAAGUUACAUUGCAUGGGGACAAACUCACUUCAAGAAAUUUGGGCUUGUGAUCUUGAUAUUCAUCAUUGCAUCCAAGAAACUCAGAAUUUAUUUAGGUCCAACUUUGAUGGAGCUACAGGAAAGCACAAAAUGUGUAUCAAGCGAUAUCAGUGAUGGCCCCAUUCCGAGAUUCAUUAAGAUCAAGUUCUAUGAAAAUAUAGAAUCUAGCGGCAGCUAAGACAGUUUGGUUUUACUUUUUAGACAGAAAACUAUGACAAGAAGGACAAACCUAUCUUCAAGGUGAUUGCACUGCCAGGUGGUCUAUCCUGUUCUUUCAUUUAUAUGUUGUGCUUGACAGUACAAAAUAGGCAUGAGAAAUGCUGUUUAUGAUCGGUCUGGAAAAACUUACUUAGCUUUUAAUAUUUAUUUCUCUUUAUAUUUAAGUGAUUUUAAAGGAUGUGUUUUUGGUCAAGUAUUAAUCCUUAGUUUCUGUUAAAAAUAGCAACUCU
Molecule: RNA transcript, 1531 nt
Organism: Quercus lobata
Lineage: Eukaryota; Viridiplantae; Streptophyta; Magnoliopsida; Fagales; Fagaceae
Gene name: ribonuclease P protein subunit p29-like
Exons: 10
Source: RefSeq, a predicted model, not a curated record